RNAcentral lists this ribosomal RNA (492 nucleotides) under uncultured bacterium. RNAcentral describes it as "partial 16S ribosomal RNA". It matches the Rfam family "Bacterial small subunit ribosomal RNA", at positions 29 to 507 of the family's 1533-position model. The record is from RNAcentral.
AGUGAACGCUGGCGGUAGGCCUAACACAUGCAAGUCGAACGGCAGCACAGUAAGAGCUUGCUCUUACGGGUGGCGAGUGGCGGACGGGUGAGGAAUACAUCGGAAUCUACUUUUUCGUGGGGGAUAACGUAGGGAAACUUACGCUAAUACCGCAUACGACCUACGGGUGAAAGCAUGGGAUCUUCGGACCUUGCGCGAUUGAAUUAGCCGAUGUCGGAUUAGCUAGUUGGCGGGGUAAAGGCCCACCAAGGCGACGAUCCGUAGCUGGUCUGAGAGGAUGAUAAGCCACACUGGAACUGAGACACGGUCCAGACUCCUACGGGAGGCAGCAGUGGGGAAUAUUGGACAAUGGGCGCAAGCCUGAUCCAGCCAUACCGCGUGGGUGAAGAAGGCCUUCGGGUUGUAAAGCCCUUUUGUUGGGAAAGAAAAGCAGCAGGUUAAUACCCCGCUGUUCUGACGGUACCCAAAGAAUAAGCACCGGCUAACUUCGUG